RNAcentral lists this ribosomal RNA (254 nucleotides) under uncultured bacterium. RNAcentral describes it as "partial 16S ribosomal RNA". It matches the Rfam family "Bacterial small subunit ribosomal RNA", at positions 79 to 334 of the family's 1533-position model. The record is from RNAcentral.
CUUUCUUUGCUGGCGACCGGCGCACGGGUGAGUAACACGUAUCCAACCUGCCCUUUACUCGGGGAUAGCCUUUCGAAAGAAAGAUUAAUACCCGAUAGCAUAAUGAUUCCGCAUGGUUUCAUUAUUAAAGGAUUCCGGUAAAGGAUGGGGAUGCGUUCCAUUAGGUUGUUGGCGGGGUAACGGCCCACCAAGACUACGAUGGAUAGGGGUUCUGAGAGGAAGGUCCCCCACAUUGGAACUGAGACACGGUCCAA